AGUGAACGCUGGCGGUAGGCCUAACACAUGCAAGUCGAACGGCAGCACAGUAAGAGCUUGCUCUUACGGGUGGCGAGUGGCGGACGGGUGAGGAAUACAUCGGAAUCUACUUUUUCGUGGGGGAUAACGUAGGGAAACUUACGCUAAUACCGCAUACGACCUACGGGUGAAAGCAGGGGAUCUUCGGACCUUGCGCGAUUGAAUGAGCCGAUGUCGGAUUAGCUAGUUGGCGGGGUAAAGGCCCACCAAGGCGACGGUCCGUAGCUGGUCUGAGAGGAUGAUCAGCCACACGGGAACGGAGACACGGUCCAGACUCCUACGGGAGGCAGCAGUGGGGAAUGUUGGACAAUGGGCGCAAGCCUUAUCCAGCCAUACCGCGUGGGUGAAAAAGGCCUUCGGGUUGUAAAGCCCGUCUUUUGGGAAAGAAAAGCAGCAGGUUAAUACCCCGCUGUUCUGACGGUACCCAAAGAAUAAGCACCGGCUAACUUCGUG
RNAcentral lists this ribosomal RNA (492 nucleotides) under uncultured bacterium. Its description in RNAcentral is "partial 16S ribosomal RNA". It matches the Rfam family "Bacterial small subunit ribosomal RNA", at positions 29 to 507 of the family's 1533-position model. The record is from RNAcentral.